AAGGAAAGCUUGCUUUUCUGAAUCUAGUGGCGAACGGGUGAGUAACACGUAGGUAACCUGCCCAUGUGCCCGGGAUAACUUCUGGAAACGGAUGCUAAAACCGGAUAGGUAGCAGACAAGCAUUUGACUGCUAUUAAAGUGGCUUUGGCCAUGAACAUGGAUGGACCUGCGGUGCAUUAGCUGGUUGGUGAGGUAACGGCCCACCAAGUCAACGAUGGGUAGCCGACCUGAGAGGGUGAUCGGCCACAUUGGGACUGAGACACGGCCCAAACUCC
Molecule: ribosomal RNA, 275 nt
Filed under: uncultured Bacillota bacterium
Lineage: Bacteria; Bacillati; Bacillota
Description: uncultured Firmicutes bacterium partial 16S ribosomal RNA
Rfam family: Bacterial small subunit ribosomal RNA
Source: RNAcentral